GACGAACGCUGGCGGCGUGCUUAACACAUGCAAGUCGAGCGGAAAGGCCCGUCGGGGUUCUCGAGCGGCGAACGGGUGAGUAACACGGUAGUAACCGGCCCUACGCUUUGGGAUAACCCCGGGAAACCGGGGCUAAUACCGGAUUAGCCCAGAAACCGCAUGGAGAUGGGUGGAAAGUUUCUUCGGCCUGGGAUGGGCUCGCGGCCUAUCAGCUUGUUGGUGGGGGGAAGGCCGUCCCAGGCGAUGACGGGUAGCCGGCCUGAGAGGGCGACCGGCCACACUGGGACUGAGACACGGCCCAGACUCCUACGGGGGGCAGCGGUGGGGAUUAUUGCACAAUGGGCGGAAGCCUGAUGCAGCGACGCCGUGUGGGGGAUGAAGGCCUGCGGGUUGUAAACCUCUUUCGGCAGGGACGAAGCGUGAGUGACGGUACCUGCAGAAGAAGCGCCGGCCAACUACGUG
RNAcentral lists this ribosomal RNA (462 nucleotides) under uncultured bacterium. Its description in RNAcentral is "partial 16S ribosomal RNA". It matches the Rfam family "Bacterial small subunit ribosomal RNA", at positions 28 to 507 of the family's 1533-position model. The record is from RNAcentral.